ACAUGCAAGUCGAACGAACUCUGGUAUUGAUUGGUGCUUGCAUCAUGAUUUACAUUUGAGUGAGUGGCGAACUGGUGAGUAACACGUGGGAAACCUGCCCAGAAGCGGGGGAUAACACCUGGAAACAGAUGCUAAUACCGCAUAACAACUUGGACCGCAUGGUCCGAGCUUGAAAGAUGGCUUCGGCUAUCACUUUUGGAUGGUCCCGCGGCGUAUUAGCUAGAUGGUGGGGUAACGGCUCACCAUGGCAAUGAUACGUAGCCGACCUGAGAGGGUAAUCGGCCACAUUGGGACUGAGACACGGCCCAAACUCCUACGGGAGGCAGCAGUAGGGAAUCUUCCACAAUGGACGAAAGUCUGAUGGAGCAACGCCGCGUGAGUGAAGAAGGGUUUCGGCUCGUAAAACUCUGUUGUUAAAGAAGAACAUAUCUGAGAGUAACUGUUCAGGUAUUGACGGUAUUUAACCAGAAAGCCACGGCUAACUACGUGCCAGCAGCCGCGGUAAUACGUAGGUGGCAAGCGUUGUCCGGAUUUAUUGGGCGUAAAGCGAGCGCAGGCGGUUUUUUAAGUCUGAUGUGAAAGCCUUCGGCUCAACCGAAGAAGUGCAUCGGAAACUGGGAAACUUGAGUGCAGAAGAGGACAGUGGAACUCCAUGUGUAGCGGUGAAAUGCGUAGAUAUAUGGAAGAACACCAGUGGCGAAGGCGGCUGUCUGGUCUGUAACUGACGCUGAGGCUCGAAAGUAUGGGUAGCAAACAGGAUUAGAUACCCUGGUAGUCCAUACCGUAACGAUGAAUGCUAAGUGUUGGAGGGUUUCCGCCCUUCAGUGCUGCAGCUAACGCAUUAAGCAUUCCGCCUGGGGAGUACGGCCGCAAGGCUGAAACUCAAGGAAUUGACGGGGGCCCGCACAAGCGGUGGAGCAUGUGGUUUAAUUCGAAGCUACGCGAAGACCUUACCAGGUCUUGACAUACUAUGCAAUCUAGAGAUUAGACGUUCCCUUCGGGGACAUGGAUACAGUGGUGCAUGGUGUCGUCAGCUCGUGUCGUGAGAUGUUGGGUUAGUCCCGCACGAGCGCACCCUAUAUCAGUGCCAGCAUUAGUU
RNAcentral lists this ribosomal RNA (1099 nucleotides) under Lactiplantibacillus plantarum. Its description in RNAcentral is "bacterial SSU rRNA". It matches the Rfam family "Bacterial small subunit ribosomal RNA", at positions 53 to 1129 of the family's 1533-position model. The record is from RNAcentral. Lineage: Bacteria; Bacillati; Bacillota; Bacilli; Lactobacillales; Lactobacillaceae.